Molecule: ribosomal RNA, 492 nt
Filed under: uncultured bacterium
Lineage: Bacteria
Description: partial 16S ribosomal RNA
Rfam family: Bacterial small subunit ribosomal RNA
Source: RNAcentral
AGUGAACGCUGGCGGUAGGCCUAACACAUGCAAGUCGAACGGCAGCACAGUAAGAGCUUGCUCUUACGGGUGGCGAGUGGCGGACGGGUGAGGAAUACAUCGGAAUCUACUUUUUCGUGGGGGAUAACGUAGGGAAACUUACGCUAAUACCGCAUACGACCUACGGGUGAAAGCAGGGGAUCUUCGGACCUUGCGCGAUUGAAUGAGCCGAUGUCGGAUUAGCUAGUUGGCGGGGUAAAGGCCCACCAAGGCGACGAUCCGUAGCUGGUCUGAGAGGAUGAUCAGCCACACGGGAACUGAGGCACGGUCCAGACUCCUACAGAAGGCAGCAGUGGGGAAUGUUGGACAAUGGGCGCAAGCCUGAUCCAGCCAAACCGCGUGAGUGAAGAAGGCCUUCGGGUUGUAAAGCCCUUUUGUUGGGAAAGAAAAGCAGCAGGUUAAUACCCCGCUGUUCUGACGGUACCCAAAGAAUAAGCACCGGCUAACUUCGUG